Long non-coding RNA from Lycium barbarum (goji berry), 1656 nucleotides. RefSeq lists it as uncharacterized. The record is from RefSeq and is a predicted model, not a curated record. Lineage: Eukaryota; Viridiplantae; Streptophyta; Magnoliopsida; Solanales; Solanaceae. The transcript is spliced from 3 exons.
AUCCGGAAAGUUCCCCUGUAGGAUCUCUGAUGGUUUUCCAAAUCUCAGAAUCCUCGGAUUAAGGUCAACUUCACUUUCCGGAGAACUUCCUUCAGGAAUGUCAAAUCUGAGUUCAUUGCAGGUCCUGAUCUUGCAGAAAACAACUUAACUGGCACCAUUCCAACAAGCAUAGGAGACCUGAAGGCCAUGGUACAAGAGCAAAAGGUGAAUGAAUAGCUGUUAUAUUGGAAGUAUAGAGGGAUUCACUACGAAGAAAGCUUGAGAGUGAAUUUGAAAAACCAGUUCCAAAAGUACACCAAGACACUAUCACUUCUUACCUCAGUAGACUUGUCUAGAAACAACCUCAAUGGAGCAUUUCCUGUGGAAUUGACAAAGUAUAUGGCCUCAUAGUUUUGAACUUGUCUGGAGACCAAAUCAGUGUACAAGUCCCAGAAAACAUUUCAAGCUUACAUCAGUUGGCAUCGCUUGAUCUCUCGAGUAAUAUGCUUUCUGGUGUCAUCCCAUCAAGCAUGGAAUCAAUGUCACUCUUGAGCUAUCUUCUCAAAUAACAAUUUAUCCGGUAUGGUUCCUUAUAAGGGUCAGAUGACAACUAUGACUGUUAUGUCCCGUAUUUUUAUACAUUGGACAACCCGGAUUAACUAUAAUAAUUCAAGGUCAAGACCAUUUCGGGAAUUGAAGUCGGGACUUUUGACCUUUGAUUUUAUUUUGAGACAUAAGUUAUAUAUGAAAUUGUUGGUAUUGAACACUUAGGGAAAAUUGGGACCACAAUUCAUAAAUUUGGGAUUAAUUUACCGUGGUUAGAUUAGUAAGUGGGAUUAAAAUUUAACCACUUCAUUAAAUAAUUAAGCCUAAAGGGCCAUGUGGGCCCCACCCGAAUAAAUAUAAAAAAAAAAAAAAGUACCAAAAAUCUGAAAAGUAACAAAACAUAGUGCAAAGGUGAGUCACAAAGAAGGGUGUACGUGUAACAUAUAGGGAAUAGGGCAUAGUGCAAAUGACAUCUUUUAAGUCAUUUGUUAAAAAAAAAAGAGCUUUCAAGAACUAGUAAACACAUCCAUGGCUGUGCACGGCCAGGUUGAAGAUUAAAAAAAAAAAAAAUCAGUUUGUUGCUAAUAAAAAUUCUAAGGAGAAGACAAGGAGAAGGAGGUGGAGAAGCAAGAAUAAGUAUAGGAAUUUAAGACACAAAUUGGAGCCAAGUAUUCAAGACCUUGGGGAGCCCGAGGUGUAGGUUGGGAUUAGCUUGAGUUUGGGCUAGCUUGGAGUGUGUACGAGGUACAGACGCACAGUUUGGUGAUCCACCAGUUUAGGAUACCUUCUUCUGCUGUUUGGAGUGCUCCUCUUAUUCCGGAGCCUACAUUUUGGUAUAUAUUCGGUCUUUGCAUAUGUAUAUAUUUGUUCAGGGGUACGGCGGGGCCCUGUCCCGCCAUAUGAUACGGUUGGUCUGUUUAGAGGUUUGUAGACGUACAUGUGGGUUGUGCCUACUUCUGUUCAGAUGUGUUUGUAUGAUCCUACUCGUUAUGGCAGCCUUGUCGGCGUGCAUUUUGUAUAUGUUUUGGGGCCGUUGUGCCAUUUGAUAGCCUUGUCGGCUUUUGAUAUAUGUAUACGCAUCUGGUUGUGCUGAAAUGUGGGCGAUGUAUAUUCCGCCAACUCUUUUGGUUU